Molecule: transfer RNA, 73 nt
Filed under: Vicugna pacos (alpaca)
Lineage: Eukaryota; Metazoa; Chordata; Mammalia; Artiodactyla; Camelidae
Description: tRNA-Ala (AGC) (tRNA-Ala-AGC-456-1, tRNA-Ala-AGC-456-2)
Rfam family: tRNA
About the family: Transfer RNA (tRNA) molecules are approximately 80 nucleotides in length. Their secondary structure includes four short double-helical elements and three loops (D, anti-codon, and T loops).
Source: RNAcentral
GGAGGGUAUAGCUCAGUGGUAGAGUGCAUGCCUAGCAUGCAUGAGGUCCUGGGUUCAAUUCCCAGUACCUCUA